This 1169-nucleotide long non-coding RNA is filed under the name Olea europaea subsp. europaea. The record is from RNAcentral. Lineage: Eukaryota; Viridiplantae; Streptophyta; Magnoliopsida; Lamiales; Oleaceae.
CCGUCUCUGUGCUGAACCAUUUUCUUCCUCGCCAGCACAACCAUACAACAAAUAGGUAAGUGUCUAGUCAUAUAUUUACAGAAUUCCCUGUGUAAAUGAUUUUUAUUUAUUUUUUAAUCUGCCGUAUUUUUCGGUGCCAAUUAGUAGUUCUGAUUCAUGGCCAUUCGUUGAGUUUUGAUCUGUAUGAGAAUCUUAAAAGUUGUACUUAGCUUCAGAUGAAAUGAAUCAAGGGUUCAUUUCCACACUGCCAAAUUAAUUCUUGGCUAUGUUAUUAUCAAGAAAAUUUAUAAUCUGUUUGGUAAAAUGGAUUGUACAAUUGUCGAAUUGGACUAUUCUAUGGAGAAAGAAGAAACUAAAAUUGCAAUCGUAUCUAUCAGGAAGUAGUAAGAAAGAAAAGAAAAGAAAGUCUCGUUGAUUGUAAUGUCCUCGAUCAUGUCUAAUAUUGAAUGCUUGAGGUAUUAAGAGUUCUUGCUGUUCUUCCUAUAUCUCCACUUGCUAUUAUUAUUAUUUAUUUUUUUUAAUUUUUUUUUUGCCGGGAGAAAUUAUAGCUGUUGCAGUUGUCACACCGAGUAAUAGGUCGAGAAUUUUGAGGGGAAAAAUGUAUCUACAAUUGAAUUGUUUUCUUGUGCAAUCUUACGAGGUUUCCUCUUUUGAGGGACGAAAUCUGGGCUGAGAAAAACCGGAAAAAAGUAAUGUUCGGAUGAUGAUAAGUUCAAUUUGCAGUUUCUUGGUUCUGAUAAAAUUGCAUUUGUAGAAGUCCAGUUAUUGAUGUUUUAAAGGUCUUUCUUGUAUCUGAUAAUAUACUCCAUGGAUAAUAUAGGUCGUUGACUCAUUAAAUUGGCUGGGAUUUUCUUCUUUAAUUUACUUUUAGUAACCUCAACUUUUUGUUAAUUUAGUAUAUUAUGAACUAGAUUGUGCUAAGGUAGAAUCAUUUCCAUGAUGUUCUCCUUUUCUUCUUCUUUUUAGCUAUGAUCAAAUUUUGGUGAAAUCAUAGGUGAACGCUGUUCACUUGAUGGUUGAAGUUUGACUGGGAGGAAUUAUAUAUAAUUUGACGUAUCGAUUGACAUCAAGAGACUGGUUGGAUGACUUGUUUUACUGUCUGUUUCAAACAAAAAGCUUCUUCCCCAGCAAAGCAAAACGUGGGUUUUAAAAAAGGUAGAUUUUGAGUG